Molecule: ribosomal RNA, 433 nt
Filed under: uncultured bacterium
Lineage: Bacteria
Description: partial 16S ribosomal RNA
Rfam family: Bacterial small subunit ribosomal RNA
Source: RNAcentral
AACGAACGCUGGCGGCAUGCCUAACACAUGCAAGUCGAACGAGACCUUCGGGUCUAGUGGCGCACGGGUGCGUAACGCGUGGGAACCUGCCCUUAGGUUCGGAAUAACUCCCCGAAAGGGGUGCUAAUACCGGAUAAUGUCUUCGGACCAAAGAUUUAUCGCCCUUGGAUGGGCCCGCGUUGGAUUAGCUAGUUGGUAGGGUAAAAGCCUACCAAGGCGACGAUCCAUAGCUGGUCUGAGAGGAUGAUCAGCCACACUGGGACUGAGACACGGCCCAGACUCCUACGGGAAGCAGCAGUGGGGAAUAUUGGACAAUGGGCGAAAGCCUGAUCCAGCAAUGCCGCGUGAGUGAUGAAGGCCUUAGGGUUGUAAAGCUCUUUUACCCGGGAUGAUAAUGACAGUACCGGGAGAAUAAGCUCCGGCUAACUCCGUG